This 508-nucleotide ribosomal RNA is filed under the name uncultured bacterium. RNAcentral describes it as "partial 16S ribosomal RNA". It matches the Rfam family "Bacterial small subunit ribosomal RNA", at positions 28 to 523 of the family's 1533-position model. The record is from RNAcentral.
GAUGAACGCUAGCUACAGGCUUAACACAUGCAAGUCGAGGGGAAACGAUAUUGGAAGCUUGCUUCCGAUAGGCGUCGACCGGCGCACGGGUGAGUAACGCGUAUCCAACCUGCCCACCACUUGGGGAUAACCUUGCGAAAGUAAGGCUAAUACCCAAUGAUAUCUCAAGAAGACAUCUGAAAGGGAUUAAAGAUUCAUCGGUGAUGGAUGGGGAUGCGUCUGAUUAGCUUGUUGGCGGGGUAACGGCCCACCAAGGCGAUGAUCAGUAGGGGUUCUGAGAGGAAGGUCCCCCACAUUGGAACUGAGACACGGUCCAAACUCCUACGGGAGGCAGCAGUGAGGAAUAUUGGUCAAUGGGCGAGAGCCUGAACCUGCCAAGUAGCGUGCAGGAUGACGGCCCUAUGGGUUGUAAACUGCUUUUAUAAGGGAAUAAAGUGAGCCUCGUGAGGCUUUUUGCAUGUACCUUAUGAAUAAGGACCGGCUAAUUCCGUGCCAGCCGCCGCCGUAA